Molecule: ribosomal RNA, 497 nt
Filed under: uncultured bacterium
Lineage: Bacteria
Description: partial 16S ribosomal RNA
Rfam family: Bacterial small subunit ribosomal RNA
Source: RNAcentral
GAUGAACGCUGGCGGCGUGCCUAAUACAUGCAAGUCGAGCGAACAGAUAAGGAGCUUGCUCCUUUGACGUUAGCGGCGGACGGGUGAGUAACACGUGGGUAACCUACCUAUAAGACUGGGAUAACUUCGGGAAACCGGAGCUAAUACCGGAUAACAUUUCGAACCGCAUGGUUCGAUAGUGAAAGAUGGUUUUGCUAUCACUUAUAGAUGGACCCGCGCCGUAUUAGCUAGUUGGUAAGGUAACGGCUUACCAAGGCGACGAUACGUAGCCGACCUGAGAGGGUGAUCGGCCACACUGGAACUGAGACACGGUCCAGACUCCUACGGGAGGCAGCAGUAGGGAAUCUUCCGCAAUGGGCGAAAGCCUGACGGAGCAACGCCGCGUGAGUGAUGAAGGUCUUCGGAUCGUAAAACUCUGUUAUUAGGGAAGAACAUACGUGUAAGUAACUGUGCACGUCUUGACGGUACCUAAUCAGAAAGCCACGGCUAACUACGUG